UAGAUGGACGCUUGUUGGUUUAAGCGCUUAGCUGUUAACUAAGAGUUUGUAGGAUCGAAACCUGCCCGUCUAG
This 73-nucleotide transfer RNA is filed under the name Pseudocheilinus hexataenia (sixline wrasse). RNAcentral describes it as "tRNA-Asn". It matches the Rfam family "tRNA". From Rfam's summary of the family: Transfer RNA (tRNA) molecules are approximately 80 nucleotides in length. Their secondary structure includes four short double-helical elements and three loops (D, anti-codon, and T loops). The record is from RNAcentral. Lineage: Eukaryota; Metazoa; Chordata; Actinopteri; Labriformes; Labridae.